Molecule: long non-coding RNA, 283 nt
Organism: Arvicola amphibius (Eurasian water vole)
Lineage: Eukaryota; Metazoa; Chordata; Mammalia; Rodentia; Cricetidae
Exons: 4
Source: RefSeq, a predicted model, not a curated record
GAUCAGAGGGUAUCAACAUGUAGAAGGCUUUAAUCUUGCAAAACCUUUUCUCUUGUUGCAACGUGCAAUUCCUUACUACUUGAAUUAUGGAAAGAACUAAACAUAAAAAUAGAUUCAUUGUCCAAAGAGAUGCCUUGUCAUGUGGCUGGAGAUCUUGAGAUGUAAGGUAUGAAAAUGUCAACAACAUUUUGGUUUGUUUCAGAUUUUUAAUAGUAAGCCACCUGGGAAAAUCAACCAACACAUCACCAAGAAGAGUUCUCUCAUAGAAAAUGCCAGAGGGUAA